RNAcentral lists this small nucleolar RNA (107 nucleotides) under Theobroma cacao (cacao). Its description in RNAcentral is "Plant small nucleolar RNA R71". It matches the Rfam family "Plant small nucleolar RNA R71". Rfam says of the family: R71 is a member of the C/D box family of snoRNAs containing the C (UGAUGA) and D (CUGA) box motifs. Multiple nearly identical copies of this snoRNA have been identified in Arabidopsis, and it is thought to function as a 2'-O-ribose methylation guide for 18S ribosomal RNA. Lineage: Eukaryota; Viridiplantae; Streptophyta; Magnoliopsida; Malvales; Malvaceae. The record is from Rfam by way of RNAcentral.
AUACCAUGAUGUGGACAUCUUCUCAGUAGUUCUUUAAACCUCUCCUAGGCUUCACAUAAAGAGUCACCAUCAAAUUGUGUGAAUGAGGUGAUUUCGUUCUUCAUCUU